GUGCCAGCAGCCGCGGUAAAACGUAGGUCCCGAGCGUUGUUCGGAUUCACUGGGUGUAAAGGGCGCGUAGGUGGUUGUCUGUGUCUCAUGUGAAAACUCAGGGCUCAACUCUGAGAUUGCGUGGGAAACUAGGCAGCUAGAGGACGGUAGAGGGGAGUGGAAUUCCCGGUGUAGCGGUAAAAUGCGUAGAUACCGGGAGGACCACCUGUGGCGAAGGCGUCCAGCUGGAACGGACCUGACGCUGAGGCGCGAAAGCUAGGGGAGCGAACCGGAUUAGAUACCCGGGUAGUCCUAGCCGUAAACGAUGGGUGCUAGGUGUUGGGGGGUAAAGACCCUUCAGUGCCGAAGCUAACGCGAUAAGCAUCCCACCUGGGGAGUACGGCCGCAAGGUUGAAACUUAAAGGAAUUGGCGG
Molecule: ribosomal RNA, 413 nt
Filed under: uncultured bacterium
Lineage: Bacteria
Description: bacterial SSU rRNA
Rfam family: Bacterial small subunit ribosomal RNA
Source: RNAcentral